UACGUAGGCAGCGAGCGUUGUUCGGAGUUACUGGGCGUAAAGGGUGUGUAGGCGGUUCUUUAAGUUUGGUGUGAAAUCUCCCGGCUCAACCGGGAGGGUGCGCCGAAUACUGAGGGACUAGAGUAUGGGAUGGGAAAGUGGAAUUCCUGGUGGUAGCGGUGAAAUGCGUAGAUAUCAGGAGGAACACCUGUGGUGUAGACGGCUUUCUGGACCAUAACUGACGCUGAGACACGAAAGCGUGGGUAGCAAACAGG
This 254-nucleotide ribosomal RNA is filed under the name uncultured bacterium. RNAcentral describes it as "partial 16S ribosomal RNA". It matches the Rfam family "Bacterial small subunit ribosomal RNA", at positions 524 to 776 of the family's 1533-position model. The record is from RNAcentral.